GGACAUUUUAAAUGUCCGUCUUCAGGCGACAAUUGUUGUUAAUCUACAAUUGUCAUUGUUUUUACAAUUAACAACAAUUGUCGCCUGAAGACGGACAUUUAAAAUGUCCGAAAC
Molecule: non-coding RNA, 114 nt
Organism: Paramuricea clavata
Lineage: Eukaryota; Metazoa; Cnidaria; Anthozoa; Malacalcyonacea; Plexauridae
Source: the annotation of a GenBank genome assembly